RNAcentral lists this ribosomal RNA (425 nucleotides) under uncultured bacterium. RNAcentral's name for it is "partial 16S ribosomal RNA". It matches the Rfam family "Bacterial small subunit ribosomal RNA", at positions 354 to 796 of the family's 1533-position model. The record is from RNAcentral.
GUUAGGAAUAUUUGACAAUGGGCGAAAGCCUGAUCCAGCCAUGCCGCGUGAACGAUGAAGGCCUUCGGGUUGUAAAGUUCUUUAGCCGAUGAUUAUAAUGACUGUAGUCGGAAAAUAAGCCCCGGCUAACUUCGCGCCAGCAGCCGCGGUAAUACGAAGGGGGCGAGCGUUAUUCGGAAUCACUGGGCGUAAAGCGUGCGUAGGCGGUUUUGUAAGUUAGGAGUGAAAGCCCAGGGCUCAACCUUAGAAUUGCUCAUAGAACUGCCAGGCUAGAAUCUCGGAGAGGAUGGCGGAAUAUCCAGUGUGGCAGUGAAAUGCGUAGAUAUUGGAAGGAACACCAGUGGCGUAAGCGGCUAUCUGGACGAGUAUUGACGCUGAGGCACGAAAGCGGGGGGAUCAAACAGAAUUAAAAACCCGAGUAGUCC